AGAGUUUGAUCAUGGCUCAGAAUCAACGCUGGCGGCGCGCCUAACACAUGCAAGUCGAACGAGAAAGCGGGGGCAACCUCGUGAGUAAAGUGGCGUACGGGUGAGUAACACGUGGAUUAUCUACCCUGGAGUGGGGAAUAACGCUGGGAAACCGGCGCUAAUACCGCAUAUUCCCGAGAGGGGAAAGCAGCAAUGCGCUCGAGGAGGAGUCCGCGGCCGAUUAGCUAGUUGGCAGGGUAAAAGCCUACCAAGGCUGUGAUCGGUAGCCGGCCUGAGAGGGCACACGGCCACACUGGCACUGAAACACGGGCCAGACUCCUACGGGAGGCAGCAGUGGGGAAUCUUGCACAAUGGGGGAAACCCUGAUGCAGCGACGCCGCGUGAGCGAUGAAGCCCUUCGGGGUGUAAAGCUCUUUCGGCAGGGAAGAUCAUGACGGUACCUGCAGAAGCAGCUGCGGCUAACUACGUGCCAGCAGCCGCGGUAAUACGUAGGCAGCAAGCGUUGUUCGGAGUUACUGGGCGUAAAGGGUGUGUAGGCGGCUUUCUAAGUUUGGUGUGAAAUCUCCCGGCUCAACCGGGAGGGUGCGCCGAAAACUGGAGGGCUAGAGUGCGGGAUGGGAGAGUAGAAUUCCUGGUGUAGCGGUGAAAUGCGUAGAUAUCAGGAGGAAUACCGGUGGUGUAGACGGCUCUCUGGACCGCAACUGACGCUGAAACACGAAAGCGUGGGUAGCAAACAGGAUUAGAUACCCUGGUAGUCCACGCCCUAAACGAUGCAUAUUUGGUGUAGGUCAUUCAGUUGAUCUGUGCCGGAGCUAACGCGUUAAAUAUGCCGCCUGGGGAGUACAGUCGCAAGGCUGAAACUCAAAGGAAUUGACGGGGGCCCGCACAAGCGGUGGAGCAUGUGGUUCAAUUCGACGCAACGCGAAGAACCUUACCUGGGCUCGAACGGCUGGUCAACGAUCGUGGAAAC
This 970-nucleotide ribosomal RNA is filed under the name uncultured bacterium. RNAcentral describes it as "bacterial SSU rRNA". It matches the Rfam family "Bacterial small subunit ribosomal RNA", at positions 8 to 1008 of the family's 1533-position model. The record is from RNAcentral.